AAUACCUUCCUGCAGUACAUCAUACUUGAACGAUUGAAGCUUUGAUUUGCUUUUUGAUCAAAUUCUUUGUUUGGGAAUUUAAAAAUUAGUUGAUUUAGAUUUUAUUUAAAUUCUAAUUCUAAUUUUAUCUUAUUUCUUUCCUAAUUUCAAAUGCUUUCUAUCUAAUGCCCUGUUGCUUGAAAUCUCCUUCGCCUCUCCUCGGCCUCGCGUUCUCAUCUCUACCGUAGCGUUGUCGUUCGCUCGUGGCCUACGUGCUAGUCUCUCGCUCAAGUGAGUUCAAUCUUCCGCUUCCCUCGUCUCUCUAGCUAGCUUUUCUUUAGCCUCACUUACUUCGUUUCAUCUACCCUCUUCAUUCUCUUCUUCCUUUCCUCUUAUCUCUGCUCAUCUCUUACAACUUCACGUCGCUCAGGUCAGGGGCAAAAAUUAGAAGAGGGAUUUUACUGGAUCAUGCAACAAGAUUGGUGGCAGGAGAAACCGCAGUGAUUGGUAACAAUGUGUCAAUUCUGCAUAAUGUGACAUUGGAGGAACUAGUAAAGCUUCAGGAGAUAGACAUCCCAAGAUUGGUGAUGGAGUUCUUACAGGAUCAAUUUCUUGUAUAGACUCAUGAAUCACUGGGGAACCAUCAACUUGGUUUGCAGAGGAAUCCUGGCAUGAGCACACGCGGACAAGACAUCUUGAUCUCCAAAUGGCUUGCUUCUUUCUUUACAUACAGCUGGAAUGACGAUAAGAGGAUAUAAGAAUACAAAAUACUUUCAUGUUGGGGCUACUGCUAGAAGAAAAUGGAACAAGAUUGAAGCUUUUGAAGAGUGAUGAUAAUGGUGAAUGGGUUUACGAUGCUACAGAAAUACAACAUGCUGUGUUGCCUUUUUCAGAGAAGGAGGACAUCAAGAGGUUGUUGAGGGGGAUUUGCAGAGUCUUAUCCUAAUAUUGAGUCACAAAAAUUGAGGGAGAUUGGUGAAAUGUUUAGUGAAGAAGAAAUUAAGACGGCAGUGUUUAGUCUUCGAGUGCCUAAUGGUGAUACUCUCAGUGCUGGCAUUAAAUAAUAGAUAAAAUAGCUUGG
Prosopis cineraria is the source of this 1060-nucleotide long non-coding RNA. RefSeq lists it as uncharacterized. The transcript is spliced from 5 exons. NCBI's taxonomy places the organism in Eukaryota, Viridiplantae, Streptophyta, Magnoliopsida, Fabales, Fabaceae. The record is from RefSeq and is a predicted model, not a curated record.